Molecule: non-coding RNA, 45 nt
Organism: Schistosoma mattheei
Lineage: Eukaryota; Metazoa; Platyhelminthes; Trematoda; Strigeidida; Schistosomatidae
Source: Rfam
AUUCAGCUGACGAAUUCCAAAUAGGAUAAAACGCGCGACCUGAAU